Molecule: ribosomal RNA, 571 nt
Filed under: Papiliotrema flavescens
Lineage: Eukaryota; Fungi; Basidiomycota; Tremellomycetes; Tremellales; Rhynchogastremaceae
Description: LSU rRNA
Rfam family: Eukaryotic large subunit ribosomal RNA
Source: RNAcentral
AAACUAACAAGGAUUCCCCUAGUAACGGCGAGUGAACCGGGAAGAGCUCAAAUUUGAAAUCUGGCGUGCUCAGUGCGUCCGAGUUGUAAUCUAUAGAGUCGUUUUCCGUGCCGGACUGUGUCCAAGUCCCUUGGAACAGGGUAUCAAAGAGGGUGAUAAUCCCGUACUUGACACAAUGACCGGUGCUCUGUGAUACGUCUUCUACGAGUCGAGUUGUUUGGGAAUGCAGCUCAAAAUGGGUGGUGAGUUCCAUCUAAAGCUAAAUAUUGGCGAGAGACCGAUAGCGAACAAGUACCGUGAGGGAAAGAUGAAAAGCACUUUGGAAAGAGAGUUAAACAGUACGUGAAAUUGUUAAAAGGGAAACGAUUGAAGUCAGUCGUGACUGAGAGGCUCAGCCGGUUCUGCCGGUGUAUUCCCCUCAGUCGGGUCAACAUCAGUUUUGUUCGGUGGAUAAGGGCAGUUGGAAGGUGGCACCCUCGGGUGUGUUAUAGCCAGCUGUCGCAUACAUCGGAUGAGACUGAGGAAUGCAGCUCGCCUUUAUGGCCGGGGUUCGCCCACGUUCGAGCUAGGA